GACGAACGCUGGCGGCGUGCUUAACACAUGCAAGUCGAACGGUGAAGCUCCAGCUUGCUGGUGUGGAUCAGUGGCGAACGGGUGAGUAACACGUGAGCAACCUGCCCCUGACUCUGGUAUAAGCGCUGGAAACGGCGUCUAAUACUGUAUACGAUACGGCUCCGCAUGGGCACUUUCUGGAAAGUUUUUCGGUUGGGGAUGGGCUCGCGGCCUAUCAGCUUGUUGGUUAGGUAAUGGCUCACCAAGGCGACGACGGGUAGCCGGCCUGAGAGGGCGACCGGCCACACUAGGACUGAGAGACGGCCCAGACGCCUACGGGAGGCAGCGGUGGGGAAUAUUGCACAAUGGGCGAAAGCCUGAUGCAGCGACGCCGCGUGAGGGAUGACGGCCUUCGGGGUGUAAACCUCUGUCAGCAGGGAAGAAGCGAAAGUGACGGUACCUGAAGAAGAAGCACCGGCUAACUACGUG
Molecule: ribosomal RNA, 468 nt
Filed under: uncultured bacterium
Lineage: Bacteria
Description: partial 16S ribosomal RNA
Rfam family: Bacterial small subunit ribosomal RNA
Source: RNAcentral